AUUGCCCCAGUAACGGCGAGUGAAGCGGCAACAGCUCAAAUUUGAAAUCUGGCCUUCGGGUCCGAGUUGUAAUUUGUAGAGGAUGCUUUUGGUGAGGUGCCUUCCGAGUUCCCUGGAACGGGACGCCAUAGAGGGUGAGAGCCCCGUCUGGUCGGACACCGAUCCUCUGUAAAGCUCCUUCGACGAGUCGAGUAGUUUGGGAAUGCUGCUCUAAAUGGGAGGUAUAUGUCUUCUAAAGCUAAAUAUUGGCCAGAGACCGAUAGCGCACAAGUAGAGUGAUCGAAAGAUGAAAAGCACUUUGAAAAGAGAGUUAAAAAGUACGUGAAAUUGUUGAAAGGGAAGCGCUCAUGACCAGACUUGGGCUUGGUUGAUCAUCCAGGGUUCUCCCUGGUGCACUCUUCCAGUUCAGGCCAGCAUCAGUUCGCUGUGGGGGAUAAAGGCUUUGGGAAUGUGGCUCCCUCGGGAGUGUUAUAGCCCAUUGUGUAAUACCCUGUGGUGGACUGAGGUUCGCGCAUUCGCAAGGAUGCUGGCGUAAUGGUCAUCAGCGACCCGUCUUGAAACACGGACCAAGGAGUCGUCUUCGUAUGCGAGUGUUCGGGUGUUAAACCCCUACGCGUAAUGAAAGUGAACGCAGGUGAGAGCUUCGGCGCAUCAUCGACCGAUCCUGAUGUUCUCGGAUGGAUUUGAGUAAGAGCAUACGGGGCCGGACCCGAAAGAAGGUGAACUAUGCCUGUAUAGGGUGAAGCCAGAGGAAACUCUGGUGGAGGCUCGCAGCGGUUCUGACGUGCAAAUCGAUCGUCAAAUAUGGGCAUGGGGGCGAAAGACUAAU
This 829-nucleotide ribosomal RNA is filed under the name Dactylonectria novozelandica. Its description in RNAcentral is "eukaryotic LSU rRNA". It matches the Rfam family "Eukaryotic large subunit ribosomal RNA", at positions 74 to 935 of the family's 3401-position model. The record is from RNAcentral. Lineage: Eukaryota; Fungi; Ascomycota; Sordariomycetes; Hypocreales; Nectriaceae.